GACGAACGCUGGCGGCGUGCCUAAUACAUGCAAGUUGAGCGCUGAAGGUUGGUACUUGUACCAACUGGAUGAGCAGCGAACGGGUGAGUAACGCGUGGGGAAUCUGCCUUUGAGCGGGGGACAACAUUUGGAAACGAAUGCUAAUACCGCAUAAAAACUUUAAACACAAGUUUUAAGUUUGAAAGAUGCAAUUGCAUCACUCAAAGAUGAUCCCGCGUUGUAUUAGCUAGUUGGUGAGGUAAAGGCUCACCAAGGCGAUGAUACAUAGCCGACCUGAGAGGGUGAGCGGCCACAUUGGGACUGAGACACGGCCCAAACUCCUACGGGAGGCAGCAGUAGGGAAUCUUCGGCAAUGGACGAAAGUCUGACCGAGCAACGCCGAGUGAGUGAAGAAGGUUUUCGGAUCGGAAAACUCUGUUGGUAGAGAAGAACGUUGGUGAGAGUGGAAAGCUCAUCAAGUGACGGUAACUACCCAGAAAGGGACGGCUAACUACGUG
This 497-nucleotide ribosomal RNA is filed under the name uncultured bacterium. RNAcentral describes it as "partial 16S ribosomal RNA". It matches the Rfam family "Bacterial small subunit ribosomal RNA", at positions 28 to 507 of the family's 1533-position model. The record is from RNAcentral.